UCAACAUUUGCUCUGAUACCACUUCUGUCACACCCGGAUUUAAGGAACAAAGCCGGGUGCAUCUCAUACAUGCGCCAAGAAGACAACAUAUAUAAUAACAGAGUGUAUAGAGAUAAAUGUCAUAAUACAUCAGAGUAUUUAUUACAUAGCGGAAGUCUUAUUACAAAAUAAAGAUAAAUAUAAAACGAACUAAGGAUCGUCGGCGCCAAUGUCGACUGAGAAACGCCACCUAGAUCAAGUCGAAUGCCUCAGUGUUAGGCGACUCCUCUUCGACCACCUGUUCUUCUCCUGUGGGGGGUGUGAGACAGCAAGAGUGAGCUCACAUACGUUCAUAGCUCAACAAGUCAUGGGGAAUAAUGUGACACGAACUCACCAAAGGUGGGAGUUCAUGAAGUGUAAGGCUAAUCAAUGAAAUAGAGGCUGAGGCUGAGCAUUGCUUUUAUAAGUUGGUCAAAAUUUUAUUAGCAAUUACUAAGUGUAAGUAAAUACCAAAUCUUAAUAAUAAUAAAGAAAAGUAUUAGUAAAAUAAUCCCAAAUGCGAUGCAAAUGUCAAAUUAAAUUUAAGUUCCAUAAAUUAAUCAUGUGAGGGUCCGAGCCGCUCAUGACCGUGAGCACGGCUAGUAUACCAGUUUUACACUCUGCAGAGGUUGCGCAUCUUUACCCACAAGUCAUGUUACCCAUCUGCCAAGAGAUGGCCAAUCCCAUACACCUCUACCGAGGAGGCGAGGCAGGGUAACACUACGAGGCCUUUACAAAGUUCCACUAGCUUCAGAAAUCCCGCUACAGUUUAUAGGAAGCUCCAAUGCAGGGUUCUUGCCUGACCGCCAUCGCAGCAAAAUCAACCAAGGACCUCCCUACACUGACCACUCCCCUACUGCCCUUGCCCCUUUCGGGUAAGGAAGACCUCCACUAGCUUUCCUAGUUAAUCAGCCAAGGGCGUCCCAUUAUACCCUUGUGGUAGCACUGUUUUCCCGGGUGGUCGCUCCAUGUUCCCAUUAAUUUAAUGAUCUUAACAUGAACAGUAAUAAUAACAAGAUAAUAACAGAAUAAUCAUGAAUAGUGUAUCUUCAUACCCAAAUCCACAUAAAGCAAUAGCAGGUACUACCCAAAGAAAUAUUUCAGUGGUGAACAAGGUAUAAAGAUAGCCAAAACUAGGGUAACCUAUUGGGUCCCAUCAAAAUUAACCUAUGCAGAUCAUUAUAAUUAAUAAGAACAUGGCUGGGAAAAGUAAGUGAUCAAGGGCACAACUUGCCUUCAAUGAGCUCCUGCUCAGCUACUUCUACUUGUUGAACCUCAGAUUCCACAGUGGCUUGCUCGUCUACUCGCAUCAACACAAUACAUACAUAAUAUAGCAAAAAUUAACAUUGCACCAAACAUAUAAAUAAAAUACACAGUAAGAAUCUACAUAUUAAAAUGAAAUCAUAGGAACUGGAAUCACUAAAUUUGGAGUUAUAGAAUUCAAGUUAUGAAUUUCCUAAGGUUUAAUGAGAUUAAAAUAGGAUUAGAUGAGAAAUUAAUUUUCUUACUGCUUUCAUGUCAAAACAGAGACAUUAGAUGAUAGAGAAUAUUAUUACAAAAUUUUAGAAAUUGGAAUGGUUCAAUUUGGAUCAAAAAUGAAAUUUCUAUGAAUUUUACAAGUUUCUAGAUUUGUUUUUGUAUUAAAAAUGAAUUUCUAUAUGUAUUUCCCUAUUUUAUUCUCCUCUGGACUGGGCGACAAAAUUGCAGAAAGCGCGAGGGCUCUGGCGCAAAUGUUACUAAGACUCAGAAAACCCACCAAGUGGACUGCGGGUUGAUUUCCAGAGAGGUGAGGGUCUCUUUAGAAAAAUUGAACCGCGAAGGGGUACGGGCGGUUCUCGGCCGUUGGAUCACCAGCCGAGGGCUCAGAUUAGAUCGUUCAUCCCCGAACCGGUAUGCAUCGCCAGCCGCUGGAUCCUAUAUCUACGGCCCUAAUUUAAAGCGAUGAACAGGUAAACUAUUCUCUAAUCCUAGCCAUCCGUGAACAAAUCAACGGCCUGGAGUCCUCGUUGAUCCGCACCCUAUCUAGACCGCCGAAUCGCGAUCGGACGAUGGACGCAUAUCCAACAACAGUGGACCGCCCAACCGGCGGCGCGGACGCCAGGCGCGGUGGCGCCAUGGCCGGACCUCCGAGCGCGGUGAUUUAGCGCCCGAAAUUCUAUGCCGUUGGGUGCUACGCAAUCAUAAAGAUCAGGCGGACUCUGUGGUGGAAUCAAUUCCGUGAAUCGACGAUGGGUCAGGCCGAAUCACGGCAGCAUUCAAGUCGCGGCAGAGAUGCACGUCGGUCAGAUAGUUUUCGGCAUCCUACAACCCAAUUGAUCCAAGUAUCCCAGCACACUAGGGCAACGCAUAGAGGGGACGAAGGCGGACAGGGCAAGGGUCCUCAUACCAAGUAUUCUGCCGCAGGGAGGUACGACCACGCCGGGGCGAGGUUCCGCGGUGUCCAUGUAGCGACGGCGAGAAAUUCCGCCCGCACGAAGCCGCCUCCGCCCAAUCGCCUGCCACCGAACGGUUCCUCGCGUUGCGCCCGCCGAUUCCCAACGCCAAACAGGACGUUGACCACGCACUGGUGGCGGCAGGGGACUUCCGCCGUGGAUGCGCACACCAGCUUCCUCGCCCACGCCCCUUGCCUGACCGGAGUGGAAAAACCCUGAACCCAGGUGGCUAUCGACGGUGCACGAGGUAGCGGACCAAGGGGGCGCCCCACGCUCCAGGUUUUAUGGGGAGGGCGAGCCCGGAGCGAUCGGAGCGUCCACGGCCACCUUGAGGAGCAGCACCGUUGGUUUCGCGGUUAGUUGAAGAUGCCUGACGCUU
RNAcentral lists this long non-coding RNA (2829 nucleotides) under Zea mays. RNAcentral's name for it is "long non-coding RNA (ZMAY_LNC000452)". Lineage: Eukaryota; Viridiplantae; Streptophyta; Magnoliopsida; Poales; Poaceae. The record is from RNAcentral.